This 85-nucleotide microRNA precursor is filed under the name Nematostella vectensis (starlet sea anemone). RNAcentral's name for it is "microRNA nve-mir-2048 precursor". Lineage: Eukaryota; Metazoa; Cnidaria; Anthozoa; Actiniaria; Edwardsiidae. The record is from miRBase by way of RNAcentral.
GUAUAAAGGCGUUUUGUUUUAGAUGUCUUGAGGGAGAACAGUCGAGAAAGGUCUCCCUCAAGACACCUGAAACAAAACGCAAUGA